ACUCCUACGGGAGGCAGCAGUGGGGAAUAUUGCACAAUGGGCGCAAGCCUGAUGCAGCAACGCCGUGUGAGUGAAGAAAGGUUUUCGGAUCGUAAAAACUCUGUCCUAAGGGAAGAAACAAAUGACGGUACCUUAGGAGGAAGCCCCGGCUAACUACGUGCCAGCAGCCGCGGUAAUACGUAGGGGGCAAGCGUUAUCCGGAAUCACUGGGCGUAAAGGGUGCGUAGGCGGCUUAGCAAGCCAGGGGUGAAAGGCAUUGGCUCAACCAAUGUAAGCCUUUGGAACUGUUAAGCUUGAGUGCAGGAGAGGUAAGUGGAAUUCCUAGUGUAGAGGUGAAAUUCGUAGAUAUUAGGAGGAACACCAGUGGCGAAGGCGACUUACUGGACUGUAACUGACGCUGAUGCACGAAAGCGUGGGUAGCGAACAGGAUUAGAUACCCUGGUAGCACAGAG
Molecule: ribosomal RNA, 452 nt
Filed under: uncultured bacterium
Lineage: Bacteria
Description: bacterial SSU rRNA
Rfam family: Bacterial small subunit ribosomal RNA
Source: RNAcentral